GGCUCCUGCUCCCCUGGUAGACCGGCAGUGUUCGGGGCGUGUGUGCUGGGAUCUGAUGAGCAGGGAGCAGGCCUUGGUUAGUGACAGGACAGCCGUUGCCACACCGCAAGGGCCCUACCGGGGACGAUUAGCAUAUAUAAAAGUAGAAAAACUCUACUAAGUCGUUACGAACCCUCAGCAGGUUUGUGAUGGCACCAAACUGUGUGGUGCAGUCGACUCGCUGGAGGGAAGGGAAGGGAUGUCAUCCAGAGGGACCUUGACAGGCUUGAGAGGUGGGACUGUCUGAACCUCGUGAAGUUCAACCAAGUGCAAGAUACAGCACCUGGGUCAGGACAAUCCUAAGCACAAGUGCAGGCUGGGCAGUGAAUGGACAGAGUGCAGCCUUGAGGACGAGGACCUGGCAGAGGAGAAGCUCAGCAUGACUCGGUAGUGUGCACUUCCAGCCCAGAAUGCCAACUGUGUCCUGGGAUGCAUAAAAAAAAAAUGUGGGGAACAGGGUGAGGGAGGGGAUUUUCCCCUCUACUCCACUCCUGUUAUGUCCAGCUCUGGGACCCCCAACAUAAGAAAGAUGUGCAACCUGCUGGAGUGAGUCCUGAGGAGGGUCACAAAGAUGAUCAGAGGACUGGAGCACCUCUCUUAUGAAGACAGGCUGAGGUUGUUCAGCCUGGAGAAGAGAAGACUUCAGAGAGACUUUACAGCAGCCUUCCAGUAUCUAAGGGAACUUACACGAAAGCUGGAGAGGGACAGGGCUUUAAACUGAGGGGAACAAUAUUCACCCAUGGAGGGAUUCAGCAAGUUAAACUUCAGAUACCUGAAGCUGAAGAUUAAAUCAGAAGUUUGACAACAAGAAAUAGAGAGAAUACUAAUGAAGAGAAUUGGUUUUCAGUUCUGGGGAAAGAGAAGAUAAGUGAGAGAAUAACACUUUAUCUUCAGUAUUUGUGGCACAAACAUGGUAAUAGUCUAGGCCGUCUACUUUCAGCAUAUAUACACGACAUUUUAUUUCUUUUUCUUUUGUCUUAAAAGUGUUUUGUCUCUCAGUUUCUUCCUUUCAGAUGAAUUCUUUAAAUAUACUGACAUCCCAUUCUAGGGCCUUUCUCAGAAAGGAGCUGCCUUUGAUGAAAAUCCUCUGCAAAAACUGAAGCACCUUACUGUGUUUACAGCACUCUUUCAGCCGUAUCCUUCACGUUCAAUGGCACCAUGAGAUGCCCAGAGGUGUCCACAUAACUGAAGUUGAACUGUUGGGCUGUCAGGUCCUAACUGAAUUUCUUUCAGGUUGCCCCAUGGUUAAGUUAUGCAUCACAAUAAUUUCUUUUAUUGUGUAAAUAUGUGGUAAUUGGCAAAUUGAGAAACAUCACAAAUCCUGUCGUAGUAGGAGAAAUUAAUAACUGGUCACUCUGUAAAGAGAUAAAAUUGCUUGUGGUGUGGCACACCUGAAGACCAGCAAACCUUCAUCUGCGGCUGCUUGGAGGGACAUUCCCUCUCCAGCCCUCAGACCCUGAUGCACAGACCCCCAUGGAGCCAGCAGGAGAAGGCAGUGGCUUCUGCACACCCUCAGCACCCUUAGCAACCUGCAGGAAACGUGUGAAGUGGGAGAAUUGAUAUGUCAAAGCCUUUUAGAAUUAUGGAAAAGGAGCAUUCUGGUUUCCAUUGUGCUGCAUCAUACCUGCUUUCCAUGCAGAACAGGCUCCUAACAUCAUGUAGCUUUAAAGCACGAGAGCGCACUAACAUGGCCUGGAGAGGAAACGGGACACAACUGAGUGUGGUAAUGUACAUAAAGGCAUGAGAACUGUGUCAAAAUCCUGCUGGAGGACAGAAGUUGUAGGCCCCUGAGCAAGACAAGCAGCGCAGCUCCUCGCGUUCUUUGUCCUUAAGGGGGCAGCAGUACAAUGCAUUGGAGCAUCCCUCGGAGUUUUCUGGGAACCGUGUGCUCCUUAGUCUACUUCACUUCCCUUAAACUUCGUGUGUGUUGUCCUAGGACUGUGCAAGUCGACUUUGUCCCAGCUAUGCAGUUGUAGUUUGUCUAUUUUGGCGAGGGCUAUGAGGGUUUUUUCAGUUUAAAAAAAAGGAGGGGCUCUCAUAUUGUUACAGAAGAGUAGGCUAAUAGUGAUAGGUGAAAAUAAGAAUUUGAAUAAAUAUGGAUUGUUUUCAUUUUAGACAAGGAACACCUUCUUAUGCAGAAGUAAGGUCAGAACAUUCUAGAUUUUUCCCUGUUGGUUUUCAAAAAACAUGAAAAUACUUUUGGAGUAACAUUAGUCAACCCAAAAAGUGUUGGGGUUUGGUUUUUUUAAAAGUAUAUUUAAUUUUAGCACCCUGCUAAAAUAUGAGCAUCAGGUUUGUACCUGAUUUAGCUUUUUACCCAUGUAAUUGUUCAGUGCACAGGUAUAAGAAUGCCUCACAGCCCAGCAUCCCCACCCUGAAGCAACAUAUGAUGUAUCAGUGGGAUUCUUCGUGCAUUUAAACAGGACUGUUGGAUUUGGUUCCUUGAUUUUGAGUUUAAGACACUAAGAAUGAAACAUUUGUUUAGGAACCAUCACAGGAAUAAAUUCAGGAUAUACAGAAGUAGGGCUAUGACUUUUUACAGAGUGAUACUUUGGGAGACAUAGGUCUAUCAACACUAAUUUAUUUUAAGGAUAACCUUUGUCUCUGCAAGACAGUGAAAUCUGUCAAGAAUAUAUUUUCUUUGAAAAAUUGUCUCUAGCACUAACUAUUUCUUUAGUAGACUUUUAAAAGUCGAACAAAAUACUAUAUAAUCUUCUAGGCAUCCCUCUGUGGCACACAGGAUGCCUUGUUACUAGGUAGAGAAGCUUGGUGAAUAUACUUAAGUAUUGAUCAGGAUUUAAUAUUCCAUUAAAUUCCAGUGACUUCUCAAGUUUUACUGUUUAUUGGGAUAUUUAGCAGCAUUUUUAUAUGGUACAAAAUAUGGACACAUCAACUUUCUAGUGGAAUUACACACAUAAAAUUUAUAGUGUCCUGCUGGGAUUAGGACAUCUGAUUACAUCUGGCACCUCAGUGCUAUAUUCCCUACAUUCUAUCUCAGCAGCAUAGAAAUGAAAAUCAGGAUGCUAAACAGACAAGGCUCCCAAAACUAAACUCAGUAGUUCAUCAAAAGGUUAAACAGACAGUAAUCCACUAGGUGCUCAGAGUCUCUCAAAAGCCUUCUUACUGUCCUUAUCAUCUCUCUUAGAUCUUGUAAUCUACCUCAGGCUGUUCCCAUGCAACAUGAAAGAAGGAAAUGAAAAUCAAUUUUUUUGUCAGAAUGAUUAAUAACCAAGACUGAUUGCUGGGCCCUUAGUGAGUGUAUAUUUUAAAACUCUGCACAGUUGUUUAAAGGUACUUUGAAAGAUUUUUCUUUUUGACCUGGGUGAAUGUUACAUUUAGUCAAAAGAAAUUGCACUAGAAAUAUGGGCUUUUGGGGAAGAUAUGCUUCCAAAACACACCUUUUUGUAUUUAAUAGUGAGAGAACAGUGCAGUUUCUAUGAUCUAUGGGACACUGUUUAUUUUUUCUGUGUUUGGGAUUUUUUUUUCUUGUUCUUUUGGGCCUACUCUUAUGUUUACAAUGUGAAGUAUAAAAUCCAGAAGAUUACUCAGUUUUCAGUCCUCAUUUUCCAUUAAUUUGUGAUGCAGUCAUGGACAGAUAACACAAAUUGCUUAUGGCUUCAACUUCUUCAUGAGUAAACCAAGAAUAUGUCUAAUUCAGACAUUUUGAAGAUUUCUGAGUAGUCCAAGUAGGUUACAGGUGUGCAUUUCAAGCCUGACAUUUGCUGAUUAUUGCAUAAAAAAGUCUAAUAUAUUCCAAUACUCAGUCUGCACAAAAGAACAGAGCUAUCGAACAGCCAGUGGGAAAUGCCACAACUAUAACACUGCAGACAUGAAGAUAACAGAACUAGAAAAGACCUAACAACAGCCAUGUUCUGCCCUGGGACAGGAUCAAUCCGGCUACAAACAUCCUUAGAAGUCAACUGUCUACUUCUUUAAAAGUACCCCUUUGAAAGAGCCACUGAGGCAAUUUCUUCCAGUGUUUAAUAGUUCUUACAUGCAGAACACAGAGUUUUCUCCCUCCUUUCAUUUCAAAACAAAGUCUCUGUUGCUCUAAUGCAUCUUUUUUUUUCUUGUGUUGUGUCCUAUUCCUAACAGAUGGGAGAACCACAUGCACCAGACUUCCAUCUAUUUGAAGUCUGCUACCAUGUUUUUCCACUGACUCUUUUUGUUUAAUUGUUUAAGUUCCUUCCUUAAAGGCUGAAGGGUUUUGAGCCUGCUUGUCUUUGAUUCUCAGUCUGGAUGAUGUUCAUUCAUCAGUCCAUUAUCAAAUUGGUCACUAUCAAAUUUUCUGGAAUACAGAAACAAAAACUGGACACUUUGUUCUAGUUUUGGUUACUACAACUAGUUACUACAACUGAGUACAGAAAAAUUUAACCCACUGUAAUGUAACACAUUUCUGUUAAUGUAACACAAAUCUGUGCUUUCAAACUAACAUAAAAGUUACUUAAUUAAUUACAAUCCUUACCAUGUUAGGAUUUUCAAGACCAGAUUUUAUCCUAUUGCUAUGAUAAGUAGAGAGAAUUUUUUCCUUCUUUAACUAUAAACCCUCUUUCUUAAGGAGCAUUUGAUCUUCUAUUCAAUACAUAUUUUCUUCUGUAUGUGUGCAUUGCUGAUUAUAAUGAGAGUGAUAUUUCUUGGAGCUGCAAUAACAAAAAACUAAUAUUAAUGCUUAUAAAUCUAAAAUACAAGAGAUUAUUUUGAAUAUAAAUUACAUUUUAUAUUUACUGUUCUGUUUCUGCUUCUAGAAGAUGUCUAGUAGUGGUCUGAUGGAAGGAUAAAAAAAACGUGUGCUGCAUUUUGAUAAGAAGGAGGUGAUGUAGAGGAAUGUAUACUAAGCAUCAAGAAAAGUCCAUCAUGCUGAUAUAACUGUUGAAACAUCUAUGCUCUGUUUCUAUGUAUGUCUGUGAAGCAGGUCAGAGAAACCUCUUCUGUUUUUAGGCAAACUAUGUCUGCAUUUAGCUGCCUUUAUGUUCUUGACAGGGAGAGAGGCAAUUAUGAUAAAGUUUAAAGCUGUGGAAGCAAACACAAAGAAAUAUGAAUUUGGGAAAAAAAUUUCAGAGAAAGAAGGUGAUAGAAUUCUUCAUCAGAAGUCCUUACUGAAAACAUGCAGAAAGAAAAGAGGAGGCAGGAAACUAUACAGAAAUUUCCUACAUCUCUAGAGAGAGAAGAAUACUGAAACAAAAGAAAAGGAAGAACAGUAAGAAAAUACAUCUUUGCAAGACAAGUUGUAUCAGUUUGUGAAACUUUGGAUUUCGAACACACAGAAAUAGGUUAGACUGAUGCUGAAACACAGUUAAACCAAAUUCAACGCAAUUAUGAAUGAAAAUGUUUGUUUCUGUCAUGAUCUCAUUAAGGAAAACCACUGUCUUUUUCAAUUUCCAAUUUCAACUGACUCAUAUUUCAUUAAAAAACUGUUCACAGACAUUUCCUUGGAAUAUUCCUUUUUCUCCAGCAGAACUGUUCAGACCACAAUUCUUCUCUGCAUGGCAUAGGGGAAUGGUUUCAAACACCAUGUAUCCUCAGUACUGAAGACUGAGUCUCAGUGAUGUUCACUCCUUGUCUCUGAAAUAUGAACCAGCAUAUUUGUGAUUUGAAGGAGGGUUCAUUUUUUCUGAAACUCCUAAAUUUUAUGUAUUCAUGUCAAUAGUUCCAUAUAGAGCACAUAAAAACCAAUAAUUGUAGGAAAUAUCUGUAAUGCAAACUCAUACAAAAUAAUUUUUGAAGGCAUGUAGGAAAAAUAGAACUGUCAAAACAAGGCUUUUGAAAUAUUGUGGAUUCAAAUCUUAUCUGUACUUAUACAACUUAAUUUGUAUAUUAAGUCUGAUACAUUAAUUCAUGCAGAGCAGGACCUGAUUCUAAGAUCACUUCAAUUAAUGUCAGUGUUGCACAUUAAUUUUGUACUGAGUUUACUAAAGGAUGUAAUGUUAGCACAUUAUUCUUCUGUCCAUUCAGUCAACUAAGAAAAAUAUGUUUCACCACUGCAUUUAAACGGGAUUGUUUUGUAGAAUAAGGCCUAAGGGAUAUUGACUCUAAGUUAAUUAGAAUUUGAUUUAAUGGAUUUAGAGAACUUCAAAUUAAUUGUUUAAGCAGAUGCAAGGCUCCUUGCAAGAGUCCUACUUAUAAUGGACUUUAUAGGCAAUAUAUGGAAUAUAAAAAGUAACUUCAGAUAUCUGUCAUCCUCAAACCUAUAGCAUCAGUGUACACUCUUUUCUUUAUGGAACAAGGAAAUAUACAUUAAAAGCAGUGGGAAAUUACCUAGCAUGACGGGGGGAAGUACUGCUUGAUUGAAUAGAUUCGCUCUAUUUUUUAAAGUCUGAGUUUGUAUAGUCCUGUCAGACACAGCUUUUAAAAUAUCAAUCUUUGUUUCAAGGUGUUGCAUAUUUUAAGAAAUUACUUACAAUAUUAGAGUUUGACAGUUUUUUGUAAUAUAGGGACCAAAAUACUAAAUUUCAGUAUUCAUGCUGUAAAUGUGCCAUUCUGGUUAUAAUAAAUUUAUCUUUUUUGCUAGCUAGUGCUGGCUGCAUGAAGGAGGUGAGACCCUUGCAUUCUUCUUAAAGCACUUUUGCCAAUAAAAUCAUUCAAUAUCUCUGAUUAAGUCUUUUACAGUCACUCUACCUCCAGUGGCUUAUUUUUUUGAACAAUUUCUGCUCUGGUAUUCAGACUUCUAAACAAAUUAAACAAAGAUACAGAAGGCCAAAGAGCAAUGCAGAACUCUUUGGACUAAUUUUGCAAAAAAAGGGAGAAUAUAGUAGGAAGCAAGGCAAAAGAAAUAAGUUUAGCCAAGGAAUAGGUAAUGCAAAGAUUAUUCUAUUAAAUUAUAUGUAAUACAAAUGCAGAGGACUUGGACAGCAGUUUAUAUUGAAAAGCCCUGAAUAUAUAUGAUUACCCUCAUUUGUUCCAAACUGUGAAUAUGAAAAUCAGGAUUAUAGGAUUUAUCAGAUUUUAUUUUUUUUUCUGUAAAACCAGCAAGAACAUUUUUAUUACAUGCUAAUUUUCUUUUCUUGCCUGUGAUAAAAUUAUAUAGUCUCUUAACCAUUAAGAGAACUUCUUAGUUUUCAAAAAGGCAGUGAAUCCUCAAUAAAGUCACCAGGAUGGGAACAAAGACCCUUUC
Long non-coding RNA from Passer domesticus (house sparrow), 7150 nucleotides. RefSeq lists it as uncharacterized. The record is from RefSeq and is a predicted model, not a curated record. NCBI's taxonomy places the organism in Eukaryota, Metazoa, Chordata, Aves, Passeriformes, Passeridae. The transcript has 4 exons.